Long non-coding RNA from Dicentrarchus labrax (European seabass), 707 nucleotides. RefSeq lists it as uncharacterized. The record is from RefSeq and is a predicted model, not a curated record. The transcript has 3 exons. Lineage: Eukaryota; Metazoa; Chordata; Actinopteri; Moronidae.
GGGAGAGCAGGAUCAACGAUCCCGCACAGACUCAGAUCACCACUCUGCUCACAUACUGCUGCAGGGAAGAAAAGAAAAUAUUUCAGCUCUUUCAACUAGUCAGAAAACUGUGAUAGCAGCAACUUGUUAGAGGCUGCAGAAGCAUCACAGCGAGGCGUUUGCCAUCAGUUCCCUUCAAUCUGUGAGCCAAAAUGACCUCAGAGCAAAACCAUGUUACUGACACAUGUUCUCUGUGGAGAGUCAGGACAGAUCUCCUUUUCAUCUAAAUUUUUGUAAUUGUGUUAUCAGGUGAAGGGCUCCUCGAACUGAAACUGAGGCUGGAUGUGACACAGCUCGUGCAAGCUGGCAUGGACAAUCACCACUGAGCAUAUGGAAGGACCCCGGCUGCUGGCAGGAGGUGGUGAUCUUCUGAUCCUCAGCCCUGCCAAGCCCAGCCAUGCUAGACAGCCUGACCACCGCCAAACUAGACCAGACCAGACCAGACCAGUUAGCACUCGGAGCUCUCCGAGUCUCGUCUCUCUUUCUAGCCAUGACAUUCAGGGCUUCGUCCACCUGAGGUAAGCCCGAACUGCUGUGUGCCAGGCGGCUCUGCGGGGAGACGAGCCCAUGCCGUGGGACAUGGUCAUGGACAUGAGGAGAGAGACAAGUUGGCGUCUGUGGCCUCAUCUAUUAGUGUGUCAGAUGCCACACAUGCACACAAGGCCACA